RNAcentral lists this ribosomal RNA (429 nucleotides) under Pseudomonadota bacterium. Its description in RNAcentral is "Proteobacteria bacterium partial 16S ribosomal RNA". It matches the Rfam family "Bacterial small subunit ribosomal RNA", at positions 355 to 776 of the family's 1533-position model. The record is from RNAcentral. Lineage: Bacteria; Pseudomonadati; Pseudomonadota.
UGGGGAAUAUUGGACAAUGGGCGAAAGCCUGAUCCAGCCAUGCCGCGUGUGUGAAGAAGGUCUUCGGAUUGUAAAGCACUUUAAGGUGGGAGGAAGGGCAGUAAGCGAAUACCUUGCUGUUUUGACGUUACCGACAGAAUAAGCACCGGCUAACUCUGUGCCAACAGCCGCGGUAAUACAGAGGGUGCAAGCGUUAAUCGGAAUGACUGGGCGUAAAGUGCGCGUAGGUGGUUCGUUAAGUUGAAUGUGAAAGCCCCGGGCUCAACCUGGGAACUGCAUCCAAAACUUGAGAGCGAGAGGAAGGCCGAGGGUGGUGGAAUUUCCUGUGUGGCCGUGAGAUGCGUAGGUAUAGGUACGGACACAAGUGGCGAAGGCGACCACCUGGGCUCAUACUGACACUGAGGUGCGAAAGCGUGGGGAGCAAACAGG